RNAcentral lists this ribosomal RNA (401 nucleotides) under uncultured bacterium. RNAcentral describes it as "partial 16S ribosomal RNA". It matches the Rfam family "Archaeal small subunit ribosomal RNA", at positions 473 to 873 of the family's 1478-position model. The record is from RNAcentral.
ACACCGGCAGCUCUAGUGGUAGCAAUUUUUAUUGGGCCUAAAGCGUCCGUAGCCGGUUUAAUAAGUCACUGGUGAAAUCCUGUAGCUUAACUGUGAGAAUUGCUGGUGAUACUGUUGAACUUGAGGUCGGGAGAGGUUAGCGGUACUCCCAGGGUAGAGGUGAAAUUCUGUAAUCCUGGGAGGACCACCUGUGGCGAAGGCGGCUAACUGGAACGAACCUGACGGUGAGGGACGAAAGCUAGGGGCGCGAACCGGAUUAGAUACCCGGGUAGUCCUAGCCGUAAACGAUGCGGACUUGGUGUUGGGAUGGCUUUGAGCCGCUCCGGUGCCGAAGGGAAGCUGUUAAGUCCGCCGCCUGGGAAGUACGGUCGCAAGACUGAAACUCAAAGGAAUUGACGGGG